RNAcentral lists this ribosomal RNA (468 nucleotides) under uncultured bacterium. RNAcentral's name for it is "partial 16S ribosomal RNA". It matches the Rfam family "Bacterial small subunit ribosomal RNA", at positions 28 to 507 of the family's 1533-position model. The record is from RNAcentral.
GACGAACGCUGGCGGCGUGCUUAACACAUGCAAGUCGAACGGAAAGGCCCUGCUUUUGUGGGGUGCUCGAGUGGCGAACGGGUGAGUAACACGUGAGUAACCUGCCCUUGACCUUGGGAUAACUUCAGGAAACUGGGGCUAAUACCGGAUAGGAGCUCCUGCUGCAUGGUGGGGGUUGGAAAGUUUCGGCGGUUGGGGAUGGACUCGCGGCUUAUCAGCUUGUUGGUGGGGUAGUGGCUCACCAAGGCUUUGACGGGUAGCCGGCCUGAGAGGGUGACCGGCCACAUUGGGACUGAGAUACGGCCCAGACUCCUACGGGAGGCAGCAGUGGGGAAUAUUGCACAAUGGGCGGAAGCCUGAUGCAGCAACGCCGCGUGCGGGAUGACGGCCUUCGGGUUGUAAACCGCUUUCGCCUGUGACGAAGCGUGAGUGACGGUAAUGGGUAAAGAAGCACCGGCUAACUACGUG